GAGGAAGGCGGGCGGCGUGCCUAAUACAUGCAAGUCGAGCGAACGGACGAGAAGCUUGCUUCUCUGAUGUUAGCGGCGGACGGGUGAGUAACACGUGGAUAACCUACCUAUAAGACUGGGAUAACUUCGGGAAACCGGAGCUAAUACCGGAUAAUAUUUUGAACCGCAUGGUUCAAAAGUGAAAGACGGUCUUGCUGUCACUUAUAGAUGGAUCCGCGCUGCAUUAGCUAGUUGGUAAGGUAACGGCUUACCAAGGCAACGAUGCAUAGCCGACCUGAGAGGGUGAUCGGCCACACUGGAACUGAGACACGGUCCAGACUCCUACGGGAGGCAGCAGUAGGGAAUCUUCCGCAAUGGGCGAAAGCCUGACGGAGCAACGCCGCGUGAGUGAUGAAGGUCUUCGGAUCGUAAAACUCUGUUAUUAGGGAAGAACAUAUGUGUAAGAAACUGUGCACAUCUUGACGGUACCUAAUCAGAAAGCCACGGCUAACUACGUG
RNAcentral lists this ribosomal RNA (497 nucleotides) under uncultured bacterium. Its description in RNAcentral is "partial 16S ribosomal RNA". It matches the Rfam family "Bacterial small subunit ribosomal RNA", at positions 28 to 507 of the family's 1533-position model. The record is from RNAcentral.